This 1581-nucleotide ribosomal RNA is filed under the name Blastococcus aurantiacus. RNAcentral describes it as "bacterial LSU rRNA". It matches the Rfam family "Bacterial large subunit ribosomal RNA", at positions 1 to 1495 of the family's 2925-position model. The record is from RNAcentral. Lineage: Bacteria; Bacillati; Actinomycetota; Actinomycetes; Geodermatophilales; Geodermatophilaceae.
GUGGCCAAGUUGUUAAGGGCACACGGUGGAUGCCUGGGCACCAGGAGCCGAUGAAGGACGUAGGAGGCUGCGAUAAGCCUCGGGGAGCUGUCAACCGAGCGUUGAUCCGAGGAUUUCCGAAUGGGGGAACCCCGCACCAGUCAUGUGGUGUGACCCGCGCCUGAACACAUAGGGCGUGUGGAGGGAACGUGGGGAAGUGAAACAUCUCAGUACCCACAGGAAGAGAAAACAACCGUGAUUCCGUGAGUAGUGGCGAGCGAAAGCGGAUGAGGCUAAACCGAUCGCAUGUGAUAGCCGGCAGGCGUUGUGUGGUCGGGGUCGUGGGACCGUCCAGUUGGAUCUGCCGAUCCGACGGGGAGUGAGAAAAUGUGGUGUUAGUGGAAGGCCUCUGGAAGGGGUCGCCGUAGAGGGUGAGAGCCCCGUACACGAAAACGCUGCAUCUCCCGGACGUGUUUCCCAAGUAGCACCGAGCCCGUGAAAUUCGGUGUGAAUCUGGCGGGACCACCCGCUAAGCCUGAAUACUCCCUGGUGACCGAUAGCGGACAAGUACCGUGAGGGAAAGGUGAAAAGUACCCCGGGAGGGGAGUGAAAUAGUACCUGAAACCGUGUGCCUACAAGCCGUGAGAGCCUUAGUUCCUUCGGGGGCGGGGUGAUUGCGUGCCUUUUGAAGAAUGAGCCUGCGAGUUAGUGGUACGUGGCGAGGUUAACCCGUGGGGGGUAGCCGUAGCGAAAGCGAGUCCGAACAGGGCGAUUGAGUCGCGUGCCCUAGACCCGAAGCCGAGUGAUCUACCCAUGGCCAGGUUGAAGCGCGGGUAAGACCGCGUGGAGGACCGAACCCACUUAGGUUGAAAACUGAGGGGAUGAGCUGUGGGUAGGGGUGAAAGGCCAAUCAAACUCGGUGAUAGCUGGUUCUCCCCGAAAUGCAUUUAGGUGCAGCGUCACGUGUUUCUUGCCGGAGGUAGAGCACUGGAUGGCCGAUGGGCCCCACAAGGUUACUGACGUCAACCAAACUCCGAAUGCCGGUAAGUGAGAGCGUGGCAGUGAGACUGCGGGCGAUAAGGUUCGUAGUCGAGAGGGAAACAGCCCAGAUCAUCGGCUAAGGCCCCUAAGCGUGUGCUAAGUGGAAAAGGAUGUGGAGUCGCAGAGACAACCAGGAGGUUGGCUUAGAAGCAGCCACCCUUGAAAGAGUGCGUAAUAGCUCACUGGUCAAGUGAUUCCGCGCCGACAAUGUAGCGGGGCUCAAGCACACCGCCGAAGCCGUGGCAUUCAUACUUUUCCUGUCGGUCCUUGUGUGGGCCGGCCAGGUGUGUGGAUGGGUAGGGGAGCGUCGUGUGGCGGUAGAAGCGGCGGAGUGAUCCAGCCGUGGACGCCACGCGAGUGAGAAUGCAGGCAUGAGUAGCGAGAGGGGAGUGAGAAACUCCCCCGCCGGAAGACCAAGGGUUCCUGGGCCAGGCUAAUCCGCCCAGGGUGAGUCGGGACCUAAGGCGAGGCCGACAGGCGUAGUCGAUGGACAACGGGUUGAUAUUCCCGUACCCGCGAAGGAACGCCCAUGCUGAACCCAGCGAUGCUAACCACCCGAAC